Molecule: ribosomal RNA, 253 nt
Filed under: uncultured bacterium
Lineage: Bacteria
Description: partial 16S ribosomal RNA
Rfam family: Bacterial small subunit ribosomal RNA
Source: RNAcentral
UACGUAGGGGGCGAGCGUUGUCCGGAUUUAUUGGGCGUAAAGAGCGUGUAGGCGGUUCGGUAAGUCUGUCGUGAAAUCCUGAGGCUCAACCUCGGGCGUGCGAUGGAUACUGCCGGGCUAGAGGGUGGUAGAGGCGAGUGGAAUUCCCGGUGUAGCGGUGAAAUGCGCAGAUAUCGGGAGGAACACCAGUGGCGAAGGCGACUACCUGGCCCAUUCUUGACGCUGAGGCGCGAAAGCUAGGGGAGCGAACGGG